This 433-nucleotide ribosomal RNA is filed under the name uncultured bacterium. RNAcentral's name for it is "partial 16S ribosomal RNA". It matches the Rfam family "Bacterial small subunit ribosomal RNA", at positions 29 to 507 of the family's 1533-position model. The record is from RNAcentral.
AGCGAACGCUGGCGGCAGGCUUAACACAUGCAAGUCGAGCGGGCCCUUCGGGGUCAGCGGCAGACGGGUGAGUAACGCGCGGGAACGUGCCCUUCGGUUCGGAAUAACUCAGGGAAACUUGAGCUAAUACCGGAUACGCCCUUAUGGGGAAAGGCUUGCUGCCGAAGGAUCGGCCCGCGUCUGAUUAGCUAGUUGGUGAGGUUAUGGCUCACCAAGGCGACGAUCAGUAGCUGGUCUGAGAGGAUGAUCAGCCACACUGGGACUGAGACACGGCCCAGACUCCUACGGGAGGCAGCAGUGGGGAAUAUUGGACAAUGGGGGCAACCCUGAUCCAGCCAUGCCGCGUGAGUGAUGACGGCCUUAGGGUUGUAAAGCUCUUUUCUCCGGGACGAUAAUGACGGUACCGGAGGAAUAAGCCCCGGCUAACUUCGUG